Molecule: long non-coding RNA, 375 nt
Organism: Catharus ustulatus (Swainson's thrush)
Lineage: Eukaryota; Metazoa; Chordata; Aves; Passeriformes; Turdidae
Exons: 3
Source: RefSeq, a predicted model, not a curated record
GCAGAAUGAAUCACAGCUCGUAGCAAACCCAGAGCAGGAGCACAGGGAACCUUGUAUCACCACGGUGCUUGGAGGAGAUGUCUUCGGAUGACAGGGCUUAAAGAAGAAAUGUAGCUUCCUCCCUGCUGGAACUGCGUGUUUCUGACAUCUCCACACUGAAGAAAUACUGUGAAGGCGUGAUCCAUCCAACCUGCAUAUACGAAUAUGAAGUUCUUCUGGAUAAUCCCAUUUUUGCUCCUGCAAGCUGAGGCAGAGCACCAGCACCACCCAACCACCCUGGCCAGCACACAGGUGGAUGAGCACACAGCUGGCAACAUUACCCUCCCACUGGGCUUGGAACGGGAAGAGCUGGAGGAGCUGCUCUGGUUCUUCCGC